AUGUCGAUCCGCCGCCUGCGCGCUUCGAAUUUUUGCGGAGUCCGCGAGCGCCGCUCCGGCGCCUUCUCCGUCGAGAUCUGGUUUUGCGAGAAACGUCUCGUCCUCGGCACCUUCGACACCACAGAGGAGGCGGCCCACGCGCACGACGCGGCGGAGUGGCGCCUCCUGAGGCCUCGUCGGGAUAUGAAUUUUCCCAACAUAUCGAGCCAGCGGGCGCAGGAUCUGGCGCCUCUCCCGCGGCUUUUCACCGACGAGGAUCGUCGUGUCCACCGGAGGCGGCAGCGUCGCCUCGCCAUCGCAGAGAAGGACGUGGAAGCCUUGGUGCUGUGGUGCGGAGGCUACCCGCAGGACAUCGUCGACGAGUGCCAAUUCUACAAGCAAUUGAGAUCGGAGAGGGACACGAGGAGGAGGGAGCGAGCCGCCUAUCGGGAGGACAAGCGUUCGCAGAAGCAGGCAGCUCAAUUGAAACUGAAACUACAAGAAACAUCAGGUUGGGACUUUGAAAACGAGCAACUUGCUGACGCCUGCCUUCAAACGUCGGAGGAGGACAUUACGGAGUCGGAGUCAGAAAUCGACGAGUAG
Molecule: ribosomal RNA, 582 nt
Filed under: Triticum aestivum (bread wheat)
Lineage: Eukaryota; Viridiplantae; Streptophyta; Magnoliopsida; Poales; Poaceae
Description: partial small subunit ribosomal RNA
Source: RNAcentral